GUGAGGAAUUUUCCGCAAUGGGCGAAAGCCUGACGAAGCAAUGCCGCGUGAAGGAUGAAGGCCUAUGGGUUGUAAACUUCUUUUCUCAGAAAAGAAUUAUGACGGUAUCUGAGGAAUAAGCAUCGGCUAACUCUGUGCCAGCAGCCGCGGUAAGACAGAGGAUGCAAGCGUUAUCCGGAAUGAUUGGGCGUAAAGCGUCUGUAGGUUGUUUAAAAAGUAUUCUGUCAAAGAUUAGGGCUUAACCCUAGAUAGGCAGAAUAAACUUUUAAGCUAGAGUUUGGUAGAGGCAGAGGGAAUUCCCGGUGGAGCGGUGAAAUGCGUAGAUAUCGGGAGGAACACCAAAGGCGAAGGCACUCUGCUGGGCCAAUACUAACACUGAGAGACGAAAGCGAGGGGAGCAAAUGGGAUUAGAAACCCUUGUAGUCC
RNAcentral lists this ribosomal RNA (426 nucleotides) under uncultured bacterium. RNAcentral describes it as "partial 16S ribosomal RNA". It matches the Rfam family "Bacterial small subunit ribosomal RNA", at positions 354 to 796 of the family's 1533-position model. The record is from RNAcentral.